GCAAGUAGAACGCUGAAGAGAGGAGCUUGCUCUUCUUGGAUGAGUUGCGAACGGGUGAGUAACGCGUAGGUAACCUGCCUUGUAGCGGGGGAUAACUAUUGGAAACGAUAGCUAAUACCGCAUAACAAUGGAUGACACAUGUCAUUUAUUUGAAAGGGGCAAUUGCUCCACUACAAGAUGGACCUGCGUUGUAUUAGCUAGUAGGUGAGGUAAUGGCUCACCUAGGCGACGAUACAUAGCCGACCUGAGAGGGUGAUCGGCCACACUGGGACUGAGACACGGCCCAGACUCCUACGGGAGGCAGCAGUAGGGAAUCUUCGGCAAUGGGGGCAACCCUGACCGAGCAACGCCGCGUGAGUGAAGAAGGUUUUCGGAUCGUAAAGCUCUGUUGUAAGUCAAGAACGGGUGUGAGAGUGGAAAGUUCACACUGUGACGGUAGCUUACCAGAAAGGGACGGCUAACUACGUGCCAGCAGCCGCGGUAAUACGUAGGUCCCGAGCGUUGUCCGGAUUUAUUGGGCGUAAAGCGAGCGCAGGCGGUUUGAUAAGUCUGAAGUUAAAGGCUGUGGCUCAACCAUAGUUCGCUUUGGAAACUGUCAAACUUGAGUGCAGAAGGGGAGAGUGGAAUUCCAUGUGUAGCGGUGAAAUGCGUAGAUAUAUGGAGGAACACCGGUGGCGAAAGCGGCUCUCUGGUCUGUAACUGACGCUGAGGCUCGAAAGCGUGGGGAGCGAACAGGAUUAGAUACCCUGGUAGUCCACGCCGUAAACGAUGAGUGCUAGGUGUUGGAUCCUUUCCGGGAUUCAGUGCCGCAGCUAACGCAUUAAGCACUCCGCCUGGGGAGUACGACCGCAAGGUUGAAACUCAAAGGAAUUGACGGGGGCCCGCACAAGCGGUGGAGCAUGUGGUUUAAUUCGAAGCAACGCGAAGAACCUUACCAGGUCUUGACAUCCCGAUGCUAUUUCUAGAGAUAGAAAGUUACUUCGGUACAUCGGUGACAGGUGGUGCAUGGUUGUCGUCAGCUCGUGUCGUGAGAUGUUGGGUUAAGUCCCGCAACGAGCGCAACCCCUAUUGUUAGUUGCCAUCAUUCAGUUGGGCACUCUAGCGAGACUGCCGGUAAUAAACCGGAGGAAGGUGGGGAUGACGUCAAAUCAUCAUGCCCCUUAUGACCUGGGCUACACACGUGCUACAAUGGUUGGUACAACGAGUUGCGAGUCGGUGACGGCGAGCUAAUCUCUUAAAGCCAAUCUCAGUUCGGAUUGUAGGCUGCAACUCGCCUACAUGAAGUCGGAAUCGCUAGUAAUCGCGGAUCAGCACGCCGCGGUGAAUACGUUCCCGGGCCUUGUACACACCGCCCGUCACACCACGAGAGUUUGUAACACCCGAAGUCGGUGAGGUAACCUUUUGGAGCCAGCCGCCUAAGGUGGAC
Molecule: ribosomal RNA, 1426 nt
Filed under: Streptococcus thermophilus
Lineage: Bacteria; Bacillati; Bacillota; Bacilli; Lactobacillales; Streptococcaceae
Description: bacterial SSU rRNA
Rfam family: Bacterial small subunit ribosomal RNA
Source: RNAcentral